UUCGUUCGCUCUUUGGAUCUCGUUUUUCCUCCCCUCGCCCCCCGUUCCUCCGUAUUCUCUCUAUUUUCUCCAGCUCUGUCUUUUUGUUUCCACCCAUUUCCACACCCACGUGUGUUCGUUUCUUCGCCAGUCCUGGCUUCGUCUCUCUACACCUUAUCCCCAGUCUUCACGACGUCCAUUCAAUCCUAUCUCAUCUGACGGAGGUUAGCCGGCACCUCACGCAGCCUUCCCAUUCUCCUCUCUUCUACCGGCAAGAUAUCGCUGCAAGGAACUCGAAAUAUCGAAACUGUAUCUACGAGACUGGAUAUUUUAUCAAAGGAUCGUGGAUGUCUGG
This 334-nucleotide unclassified non-coding RNA is filed under the name Bombus terrestris (buff-tailed bumblebee). Its description in RNAcentral is "misc RNA ENSBTSG00005029640.1". Lineage: Eukaryota; Metazoa; Arthropoda; Insecta; Hymenoptera; Apidae. The record is from RNAcentral.